UUUUGUGGGGUGGGGGGAAAGGGGAGGGUCAGCAUUAGGACAAAUACCUAGUGAAUGCGAGGCUUAAAACCUAGAUGAUGGGUUGAUAGAUGCAGCAAACCACCAUGGCACAUGUACACCUAUGUAACAAACCUGCACAUCCUGCACAUGUGUCCUGGAACUUAAAGUAUAAAAAAAAAAAAAAAAAGAAAGAAAGAAAAGAAAAGAAAAAAAAAGAACGUAGCAACUAAGAGGACAGGGAAAAAGAAUGCUUCUCAGCUUCAGGGCAAAGGCUGAAGCCUAGGACAUCAUCAUAGCCACUCAGUUCCCUGUCCUAAGUGUCUUGCAAACAAUGAUUUCACUUCACGUUGACAUUAACCCUGUGAUGUGGAUACUAUUCCCAUUUUAUAAGAGGUAACUGAGGUUCAGAGAAACCAAGUAACUUGCUCAGAAUCAUUUGAUGAGUAAGGGGUGGGGCUGACUCCCCAGUCCCUGGUUCCUACCCAUGUGGUCAGAGUGCCUCCUCCAGUCACGCUGCCCUGUCUGUAGUUGAAUGAACUCCUCAUUCUUGCCAUUCUCAGUUGUCUUGUCUUUUCCCUUCUCUUCGUUCUCUCCUUUGUAAGCUUGGUAAUUGCAGAAAUCUCAUGGAGCAUGAAAAACUAGUUCACCAGCUGACUCAUAGUAGCACUCAAUAAACACUUGUUGGAAUGAUGGACGGAUGGACAAUUUUACAAAGAUAGGUGAUAAGGUGCUUACCCAGGAACUCAUGAAUUUUCUGUCCUCCAAUACACCCUCCCCCAUUGCCAGAUGUGUAGAAGGUUAGACCAGAAUGAUCCCACAUCCCAGUAUGCUCAGAACUACCCUUUACUCUUGCUGUCCCAGCAGCCCUUUCACUCUCUAAAGUGCCCCAGACUAGGGGAAGAGUCUGGAACUAAACAGAAGAUUCAGGAACCUAAAAGGGCAAGCCUGGGUGAAGUUGCUGUAAAGACAUACUCCACCCACCACCCUCCUCCCACUGGCUGCAGCAAGAAAAGCACCGGAGAGGCCCAGGCAGCUGACACUCAAGACGCCAUCUAGGUAAGGCCCUGGAAGGCAGGCCCAGCCCCAGCUCUCCAAAAGGGAUCCAGUCCCAGCUCUCCACCACCUCCUGGAACGGGGCCCAUCUCUAGCUCUCCACCACCUCCUGGAAGGGGGCCCAUCUCCAGUUCUCCACCACCUCCUGGAAAGGGAUCCAGCCCCAGCUCUUCACCACCUCCUGGAAGGGAGCCCAUCUCCAGCUCUCCACCACCUCCUGGAAGGUGACCCGUCUCCAGUUCUCCACCACCUCCUGGAAGGUGACCCAUCUCCAGUUCUCCACCACCUCCUGGAAGGUGACCCGUCUCCAGUUCUCCACCACCUCCUGAAGGUGACCCGUCUCCAGUUCUCCACCACCUCCUGGAAGGGGACCCAUCUCCAGCCCUCUGCCACCUCCUGGAAGGAGACCUACAUCUCCAGCUGAUAUGGUUUGGCUGAUAUGAUAUGAUUUGGCCCCACCCAAAUCUCCUCUUGAAUCGUAACUUCCACAAUUCCCAUGUGUCAUGGGAGGAACCCAGUGGGACCUGACUGAAUUAUGGGGGCGGAUCUUUCCUGUGUUGCUCUCAUGAUGCUGAGUGGGUCUCAUAAGAUCUGAUGGUUUUAAAAUGGGAGUUUCUUUGCACAAGCUGUCUCUCUGCCAUCCACGUAAGAUGUGACUUGCUCCUUGCCUUCCACCAUGAUUGUGAGGCCUCCCCAGCCAUGUGGAACUGUAAGUCCUUUAAAUCUCUUUCUUUUGUAAAUUGCCUAGUCUUGGAUAUGUCUUUAUCAGCAGCAUGAAAAUGGACUAAUACAAAGAAUUGGUACCAGGAGUGGGGUGCUGCUGAAAAGGUACCCAAAAAUGUGGAAGCGACUUUGGAACUGGGUAAUAGCAGAGAUUGGAACAGCUUGGAGGGCUCAGAAGAGGAAGGGAAAAUGUGGGAAAGUUUGGAACUUCCUAGAGACUUGUUGAACGGCUUUGCCCAAAAUGCUGAUAGCAAUAUGGACAAUAAAGUCCAGGCGGAGGUGGUCUUAGAUGGAGAUGGGGAACUUGUUGGCAACUGGAGCAAAGAAAGGGCGGAGGGUUAAAUCCUGACAACAAGUUGAAGCCUAAGACAAUAGAAGCCACUGUGAACAGCUGGAAGACUACAUUCAGCUUUCUGGAUCAGACAGAAUGGGGCUCAUGCCACAUCAUGAGGCCAUGAAGAAGCACAUGGAGAGGCACACCUGGUGAGGAACGGAGGCUUCCUGCCAACAACCAGUGAGUGAGCCACCUCAGCAGCAGAAUCCCAGCCCCAGUUCAGCCUUCAGAUGACUGUAGCCCCAGAUGACAUCUGAAGACCCCUAGCCAGAACACUUAGCUAAGCCAUUUUCAACUUCCUGCCCUCAGAAACUUUUUUUAAUAGAACACUGGAAUGCAAGGGAGAAGAUGGCUUCACAUAUGUACAAAACGCCCGUUGCUGCAGUUAUGUCUAGAAACUUGAGAGGAGACACUCUUGGAGAUGAAUGCUCAUGAAACUGGGAUGAAGUCUCUCUCCUCUUCCAACCUGCAAGUCUUGCUCUCUGGACAAUACCUGCCAGAACAGGAACUAUUUGAAGGAACAGGAACUAUUUAGAGCAACCACAGGGAAUGCUGGAGUCCAGCUGAACACAGCCUGAGCUCCUUGUCCUUGCUCUCCAGGGCACCCUCAAUCCACCAGAGUUGUUUUGUAAAAAUGUGCAAGUUGCCAUGAAGGCCUCCCAGCCUCAGGGCAUAACUCCUCAGACACUGGUUCUAUUAAAUACACCCCGAGAUGCGACAAAACAGUCGUGUGGGAGGGGGUGGUGGAAACCCUGUGCAGAGUGCUAUUGACAUAGAAGUCUGGGCUGCACAAAAUCUGCCAUCUGAAUCCAAUCACGGGAUUAUUUCCAAAAACAUCUCCCAAAGUUGCUAUACACAGGUAACCGCUUCUUAGUAAAUGCAAAAGAAAGCCAUGCUUUCUCAUAAAAUUGGAACACUGGGUCUCUUGUUGGUGAUGGUGGGUGUUUCUAGUUUGAUUACAUAUUGGAAGCAUUUCCUAGCAGGGGCCUCUGACAGUGUCUCCAAUGCUGAGAACAUGAAGGUGCUGCUUCUCUCCUCUUCACCUCCCACUUUCCCAGUCAUCUAGAUGUCAAAUGAAGCUCUGCAGAGAAAACAUAAGCCCCACAAGGGCAUGAAUGUGAAAGUGUGUGUGUGUGUGUGUGUGUGUUUGUUGGUGGCAGGUAGUGGGGGCUGAGACAACGGAGGAGACGGGAUGGGAGUGAGUAUACCUCAUCAAAGUAACUGACUUGGCAAAUACACUUAUGAAAUCUUUCUUGCAUAUUAAAGAAGUCACCCUCAUCCUUUAUAUAGUUUUUGUUGUCUCCAUUCCCCUUCCUCUUUGAAAAACGAAACACACAGAAAAAUAUAAAGGCUAAUAAAACACACACCUUGAAAUGACCAAAUGUUAUCCUUUUGUCGUACUGGCUUCAGAUUUUUCUAUCAUGAAGUAAAUACAAAUGACAGAUAGUUACAUCUCCUUCGUUCUCCCUGAUCCUGUUCACUUCUCUCCCUCCCCUUAGGUAAGGACCAUCAUGAAGUUCCUGUUUUACUUUCUAAUUCUUUUAGCACACAAACACAUUCAUAAACAAUGUCUGAAUUAUUGUUCUGUGUGAGUUGACAUGCAUUGGUACUUAUUCAGCUUGCUGUAUUCACUCAGCCAGGGCCACAGGUUGG
RNAcentral lists this long non-coding RNA (3763 nucleotides) under Homo sapiens (human). RNAcentral's name for it is "HSALNT0247816". Lineage: Eukaryota; Metazoa; Chordata; Mammalia; Primates; Hominidae. The record is from RNAcentral.